RNAcentral lists this ribosomal RNA (467 nucleotides) under uncultured bacterium. RNAcentral describes it as "bacterial SSU rRNA". It matches the Rfam family "Bacterial small subunit ribosomal RNA", at positions 28 to 493 of the family's 1533-position model. The record is from RNAcentral.
GAUGAACGCUAGCGGCAGGCUUAACACAUGCAAGUCGAGGGGUAGAAGGAGCUUGCUCCUUUGAGACCGGCGCACGGGUGCGUAACGCGUAUGCAAUCUACCUUUUGCAGAGGGAUAGCCCAGAGAAAUUUGGAUUAAUACCUCAUAGUAUGUGAGGAUGGCAUCAUUUUCACAUUAAAGUCACAACGGCAAAAGAUGAGCAUGCGUCCCAUUAGCUAGUUGGUAAGGUAACGGCUUACCAAGGCUACGAUGGGUAGGGGUCCUGAGAGGGAGAUCCCCCACACUGGUACUGAGACACGGACCAGACUCCUACGGGAGGCAGCAGUGAGGAAUAUUGGACAAUGGGCGCAAGCCUGAUCCAGCCAUGCCGCGUGCAGGAUGACGGUCCUAUGGAUUGUAAACUGCUUUUAUACAGGAAGAAACACUAACUUCGUGAAGUAGCUUGACGGUACUGUAAGAAUAAGGAU